RNAcentral lists this ribosomal RNA (481 nucleotides) under Acinetobacter baumannii. Its description in RNAcentral is "bacterial SSU rRNA". It matches the Rfam family "Bacterial small subunit ribosomal RNA", at positions 1052 to 1533 of the family's 1533-position model. Lineage: Bacteria; Pseudomonadati; Pseudomonadota; Gammaproteobacteria; Moraxellales; Moraxellaceae. The record is from RNAcentral.
UCGUCAGCUCGUGUUGUGAAAUGUUGGGUUAAGUCCCGCAACGAGCGCAACCCUUAUCCUUUGUUGCCAGCGGUUCGGCCGGGAACUCAAAGGAGACUGCCAGUGAUAAACUGGAGGAAGGUGGGGAUGACGUCAAGUCAUCAUGGCCCUUACGACCAGGGCUACACACGUGCUACAAUGGCAUAUACAAAGAGAAGCGACCUCGCGAGAGCAAGCGGACCUCAUAAAGUAUGUCGUAGUCCGGAUUGGAGUCUGCAACUCGACUCCAUGAAGUCGGAAUCGCUAGUAAUCGUAGAUCAGAAUGCUACGGUGAAUACGUUCCCGGGCCUUGUACACACCGCCCGUCACACCAUGGGAGUGGGUUGCAAAAGAAGUAGGUAGCUUAACCUUCGGGAGGGCGCUUACCACUUUGUGAUUCAUGACUGGGGUGAAGUCGUAACAAGGUAACCGUAGGGGAACCUGCGGUUGGAUCACCUCCUUA